GCAUUCGUGGCCUAGUGGUUAGAGCGUCCACCUCGGAUGCGGGAGGUCAUGGGUUCGAUCCCCAGUCGAGUGAUACCA
Potamilus streckersoni is the source of this 78-nucleotide non-coding RNA. Lineage: Eukaryota; Metazoa; Mollusca; Bivalvia; Unionida; Unionidae. The record is from the annotation of a GenBank genome assembly.